This 2235-nucleotide long non-coding RNA is filed under the name Daphnia magna. RNAcentral describes it as "uncharacterized LOC116927679, transcript variant X2". Lineage: Eukaryota; Metazoa; Arthropoda; Branchiopoda; Diplostraca; Daphniidae. The record is from RNAcentral.
GUUUCAAUUCAAUGUUGUAAGCAAUUUGGACACGACAACAGCAGUACGACAUUUUUCAUUGGUGUUAUUUCACAUCGUGUUUUCCCAGCUUUGCAGUUAUGAGUAAUUGGACGUUUUAUUUUAACAUUUGAUCGUAGGAAUCAAACCUGUGAUCAGUUUUGAUUUUAACCAAUUCAAUUGAAUUUGUGCCUACCUGCAUGGCAUUCAAAAGGAUUAGUUUUUUAAGCCCUCAAAUAAUAAUCGGCCCCAAGUUACUACACAGAGGCACUGGUGUACUAAACUACGACAUACGCUACACCAAGUUAUUCCAGCGAAGCCCCGAAGUACUAUAUGCUGCUCCCAGCUACACCCCUUACUGUUGUCUACUACACCGCAACAGAAGCAAACAAGUAUUACGUAGCUCCGUCUUAUUACACCACAGCUGCUCCAUCUUACUACACCGAGCCCAACUACUACACAACAACCUCGUCACCCCUGCAUUCUACACUGAGGCCCCAAAAUAUUACUCGCCUCCAAGUUACUACACUGAAGCCUACACCUCAUACGCCAAGCCAGACAACUACACCAAUGCUCCACAAAACUAUGCUACUGCCUCUUAUUAUACAACUAAGGCCCGGAGUACUACGCUAUAGAGAAGGCCGAGUACUACACCACUACCUAUGCUGCUCCAGCGCACUACACUGAAGUUCCAAAUUAUACAAUAGACGUUUUUUAGUAGACUAUCACGGCGUGCUGAUGUCAUGCUGUUUGCAACAAACCUCAAAGAAAAGGAUUGCAGCCGAGGUAUCAUCAUAAUAAUUUCGCUGAUGGUUUGGACUUUGGAGUUCAGUUCUUAUCACUGAUAUUAACCAAACUUAAAUCGACUAGAAAACGUAGACGCUUAUCUCUCAUUCUUUUAGUUUCUUUGACUAAGACAGAAAUUUCAGUAACGAGGAAAGAAGAGAAGUUCGUGUAUUAUGUUUCAUGACUUGUACAGUCAAUUCUUUUGCGUUUUUUAGGCAUUUUGCAUCAAAAUAGAAGGCAAUGAAAAUCGGAAAACCGGAGGCAAUGAGCCAGCUGCCAGAGAUUCCACUGGAUAUCAUUUUAUUUGAUACCAAAUAGCCCGGACAUUUGAAAAUUGAAUAAAAUUUGUAAUUUGGGGUGUUAUAUCAUGAAGGCGGGGACCAUGAUUUAAAGCUUAUAUCAUUCAUCUGGAUUUGAUCAUGUUCACAGCAAAUGUAUCGGACUGAAUGUAUUAGAAGCUGAUAAAAACCCGCUUGGUCUAUGUCAAGUAAUUUCUCUAAAUACGAACGACCCAUUUUGCAGGAGCGUGAACAAUUGGCACUCAAAUACACCACAAGUGAUUGUCUUGUAAAUAAUGAUGUCACUCUUUAACAAACCCGUCAACAAUACCACCGAAGGUCUACCGAGAAACGAAAGGAACCUAAGUAUUACUCAGCUGUCAGCUACCAAACUGAAGCCCCAAAGUACUAUUGAUAGCCCUGUGAUUUUAAUUAGCUCGUUAACAAAAAUAAUGCUUCACUGUUUAAUGUAAAGUUCUACCGAAGGCGUUAUUGAUCAUCAUAAUAAUUUUGCUUCAGCUUUAUUUAUGUUCUUGACUAGAAUCACUUCCGAUUUGGAAUGUGGUAUACUAGCUCAUUUGUCUAUAACAAAUGUUGCCGUUAAUCAACUUCUAAUUACGUUGUUUGUACUCAACACAUCAAUCAAUCGUUUCACAUUCGCUAAUCAAUAAGAGUUUAGUUUUGCUAGUCUGAUAUUUUGAGCGAGUUAUUUCAAAAGAUUAAACGAAAUACCUCAGCGGAGGAAAUGCAGCUUCUGAACAUUUUCAUUUCACGCGUUUGUGAAAUGUUAAUUGAUUAAGAAAAUUGAUUGCAUAAUAAUCAACGACGCAUCACAUUUCACACCUACGCCCGCUUGAAAUCAUCACGUUUUCUGCACCCACUUGUUACAUCAAAGGUACAGCUCACUCCAUAACGCGGUAGGCAAAGUUUUAAAGGACAACACGAGGUGCUCUCAAUCUACUAAAUCAAGCCCAACUUACAGCACUGAAACUACAUCUUAAUGUGCCUGUAGUCAACACAUUGGAGUUUAUUCGCACAUUUUUCGUUUCAAACGAUCGAUAUAGUCUUUGCACUUUACUAACUCGUACCCUAGCUUUUCCCUGCAUAGUUACUCUGUCAUGUUUAAUAGUUAAUUUCACGUGAAAGUGUAAUAAAACCGGCUUUAAAAACGCAA